UGUCUUGUGAUUCAUAGUUUUAGACAUAUAUUAUCAAGACUAUCUUAAUAAUGGUUUCGAAAACCCAUAUUAUGUCCAAACAUUGAAUCACCAUUUAGUUGUAGCUAGCAUUCUUCGAAUUAAUUGAAACUAAGACUACGUCAAAAUUGGUUCCUUCAAAGUCAACCAAUCUCUUUGAUUGUAGUCACCUUAAGCUACCAAUUAGCUUAUAAAGGUUUCAUUAUUUCGGGUCAAAUGGUACUUUACCAUUUCCUUGAGUAUAUAUCAUAUAUACACUCAAUGUAGUCAUAAGGAUUUUCAUUCUUAUUUCUUUCGAAUUAAGAGGUGCAACUCUAUGACAUAGUCAUAAAGUUCAAACCAUUCAACUGAGACGGUUUAUAAAUCCUUAUCGACUACCUUGGAGCUUUUGGUAUAGGAACUAGGUUGUUUAUAUGUUGAUUACUUUCUUGUCUCUCAAAGAACCCAUUCUUUGAGUUCUAUCUCUCGUUCAUUUGCUCUUAGGCAAAUCACAUUGUAUGAUUACAAUGAACUACCCAACAAAACAACAUUUGUUAAUUGGUUUAUAGAAGCGAUAUCCAAAAGUUAAUUUAAGGAUAUCCCACAAGAUUGUUAUCAAACAAAUAUUGCUUAUUAGCACACAACCCCAAAUCUUAACAUGCUUGAGACUUGUCUUUCUUUCCAACUAGAUCUUAUGGAGUCAUGAAAAUUUUUGGAAGAUCUUCUAAUUGACAAUCAUAUUGUCUUAGAAGGAUAUAUCCUAUAUAUGGGUAAUAGAUAACAACCAACGAACUAAAUCUUAUUCGAGUUCGUUCUUCUCUUAAUGGAGAAAUUCAUUAUCUUAUGAUGCUAUUUUCCUUGAUAUCUUUCAAGGAAACUCAUCUAAAGUGUUACCUUUCCUUGGAUCAAAUCUAAGGAGGUAAAUACUUUAGAUGUCUUACUCAUCAACUUACAUUUCUUGAAUUCUUUGAAACCUUUUGCAAAGUAUUCGGACUUGUGUUUAUUCAAAAUAAACUAUAGUCCAACCGAGAGUGAUCUUCGGUGAAUGUCAUCCAACAUGAGUAGUAUUAUGUUGUGAACAAGUGCCACUAACAUCUAAGUGAAUUAACCUCAACAACUUUGUGAUUCUUUCUUCUUUCCAAAAGAAUAAAGAUUCGAACAUUUCGCCUCUAUACAAUUUUAACAAGAAGGUAUUGGAUCCGGAUCUAACAAUCCAAAGCAUCCAUUUAUUACCAACUCGUAAUUUAUGUUUUUAGAGGAAUCACAACUUAGUUGGGAUUAGUCACUACCUUGCAACCUUUUGGGUUUUAAGCAUCGUUGUAUUCUAAACAGUUAACACUACCAUAUCAUCUCUACUAUAGAGAUAAUUGAUUAGAUUACAAUAAUCUAAUCAUUCAUUAAUAAAGAACAUUGUUUUGUCAAACAAAACAUUUAUCCAUUUCACAUAGUGAAGGAAUUUAGUUCCUUAAAAUUGGAAUAUAAAGACAAUCUAUGUUUUUCCAAUUUCUUUGGUAGUUCAUAUGAGGAAGUAAGUACCAUCUGCUUUCGCAGAGAUCUACAUUUGAUUCACGUUCCGAAUGUGAAGCACCUUUUCUUUCUCUCAUAUAUCUUCUACUUCUUAUUAGUCACACUUUUACAACGAUUGUAAAACAUAGUUACUAAUACGGAAUCAAGCAUUCAAGUAGAAGAACCAACUGUUUUGAACUAUUCAAGAACAAUUUACAACACCUUCGAAAAGGUGUGUUCUUGACACUUGCAAGACAUUUCUUGCAAAUAC
Molecule: long non-coding RNA, 1774 nt
Filed under: Malus domestica (apple)
Lineage: Eukaryota; Viridiplantae; Streptophyta; Magnoliopsida; Rosales; Rosaceae
Description: long non-coding RNA (MDOM_LNC019497)
Source: RNAcentral